This 425-nucleotide ribosomal RNA is filed under the name uncultured bacterium. Its description in RNAcentral is "bacterial SSU rRNA". It matches the Rfam family "Bacterial small subunit ribosomal RNA", at positions 354 to 796 of the family's 1533-position model. The record is from RNAcentral.
GUCGGGAAUUUUGCGCAAUGGGCGAAAGCCUGACGCAGCAACGCCGCGUGAGGGAUGACGGCCUUCGGGUUGUAAACCUCUUUUCUCAGGGACGAUGAUGACGGUACCUGAGGAAUAAGCCACGGCUAACUACGUGCCAGCAGCCGCGGUAAUACGUAGGUGGCGAGCGUUGUCCGGAUUUACUGGGCGUAAAGAGCGCGCAGGCGGUCGUUCAAGUCGCGUGUGAAAGCCCCCGGCUCAACUGGGGAGGGUCACGCGAUACUGAUCGACUCGAAGGCGGGAGAGGGAAGCGGAAUUCCCGGUGUAGUGGUGAAAUGCGUAGAUAUCGGGAGGAACACCAGUGGCGAAGGCGGCUUCCUGGCCCGUUCUUGACGCUGAGGCGCGAAAGCUAGGGGAGCAAACGGGAUUAGAUACCCUGGUAGUCC